This 377-nucleotide ribosomal RNA is filed under the name uncultured organism. RNAcentral describes it as "partial 16S ribosomal RNA". It matches the Rfam family "Bacterial small subunit ribosomal RNA", at positions 518 to 896 of the family's 1533-position model. The record is from RNAcentral.
CGGGGGGGGGGGGCAAGCGUUGUUCGGAAUUACUGGGCGUAAAGGGCGCGUAGGCGGCCUGACAAGUCCCUCGUGAAAUCCCACAGCUCAACUGUGGAACUGCGGGGGAUACUGCCGGGCUUGAGUCCGGGAGAGGAGAGUGGAAUUCCCAGUGUAGCGGUGAAAUGCGUAGAUAUUGGGAGGAACACCGGUGGCGAAGGCGGCUCUCUGGACCGGUACUGACGCUGAGGCGCGAAAGCUAGGGGAGCAAACGGGAUUAGAUACCCCGGUAGUCCUAGCUGUAAACGUUGAGCACUUGGUGUGGCGGGUAUCGACCCCUGCCGUGCCGAAGCUAACGCAUUAAGUGCUCCGCCUGGGGAGUACGGUCGCAAAGGCUG